AGCCCCACAGCAAGCGUUGACAGGCCAGUUCGAUCUAAUUUCUUUCCAUCAGGUCCCAGCAUUGACACCAUGCCCAGCAAGGGAAGAGGACUGCUGCAGUAAAGUGGCUGCGUGUCCCCGUUUCGGCCAGGGCAGGGUUAAUUUUUUAGGAUAGCCGAUUCGGUACCAUCUCCCAUCACUGAAAGGUACCGGAGCGAGGGACGUGCUCGCUCUUUCAGGGGAGGGAAAAAUGGUGUGGUGGAAGAGCUGGCUGAUUUGUCGUGGUUUUUUCUGUGUAAAUAGUUUCUUUGUCUUAUACCUUUUGUUGCUAACAUUGUUGCUGUUACUUUCGUUUUCUUAUCUCAUUGUUCUUUGCAGUAAAUUGUUCUUAUCUCGCCCUGUAAUCUCUGCCUCCAGUCUCCCAGCGGAUGAGGGGGGAAGGGGAGCACCAUCUGCCCAGGGAGACUCCGAGGAGUCCCAGGAGGUCACUAACCCAGGGACACCAACGUUCCUAACCACGGCACUGCUUUCAGGAGUGGCACCGACUUCAAGAGGAAAGCUUUGAAUCUUAUUAAGAACAAGGCUUAGCCGCUAAGCUCGCCUGGGUAUUGCUUAAGUAGGUGCAGCCAAUGUCACCUGCCAGAUGAACAGAGGAGCUGCAGUAGAGCACAGCUGCCAGUCAGAACUUAACUGGAUAUUGUAAAGACUGAGCUAUUGUUUCUAAAGGAAUCUGAAAAAAUCUGACUGAUGUGGAGAGUACUGCAGACCAGCCCAAAGAAAUGCUACCUGUCAUAAUGGCAGCACUAUCCAAAUUACUACAAAAACUGAUUUCUGCAGAGCAUCUGUCCACAGCAUGCCAUCUGCUACUUGGAGCAUGGUCUCCUCUCUUCCUGCUGGACCACUGCCUCAGCCUUAGAAGUCUUAUGCUUCUCAAGCCUUGCUGCAUCCACUUAAAACCCAACUUCGUAAGACACUGGAAGAAGGACUCCCACAAUUCUGCAGGCAGGUUUCUUCUUCCAUCAACAGCUUGAAACACUUCAUUGCUUAUGAUAAAUUUUGAGAGACAACAAACUAUGACAGUGCAGUAUACAGCUUUCCUAGAGUGCAGAUAGUACACAGAUAGUACACAGCAAGUGUCUCAAGACAGGCAAACUGAACUGGAUGCAAAGUACACUUAUGCAGUCUAGAAGUACCUAUCAACUGGUGAGAAGUUAAAGGUAAGGUAAGUAUAAACUGACUUGGCAGUGAAGGAAUGCUGAAGGGAUACUUGCACAUCAUUGGCUAUGGAAAACAAACUGCCAUUGAACAUUGUAUUUCUUAACUAAGAUUACUUAAUGACCCAUUCUUCCCAGAAAAUGUGAGCCUUGCAUUUAUUUUUUUUUUUUAACAGCAGUUUCCUAAACCAAAGUAAACCUCACAUUUAACUACCUGAGAGAAAAAUUCAUUAUCUAAUCAGAGCACUUGACCUGCUUAUUUUUGUUCACUUAUUGAAUCUUUUGGUCUUUUUACAGGAAACUUCAUUCCUUGGAAUUCAAUUUCCCUUUUUACACAGAAGUAUGGUGCUUUUCUCUCAGAUUCUCUCAGUCUUUUUGCAAUGAGUUAUUUCCAUUACUGAAGUUACUUAUUGAGGGCCAUAAUCUCCCAAUGUAGUUGCAGUACAUAGGGACAAAUCUGCACUGUCAAUUUCAGAUUAUGAGCAUAAGGGUUUUACAUUUAUGGUCUACUGAAUAUAAAUUCUGUUUAUCCUUACAUCCAGACGUAUCAACAGAAACUUCUUUCACAUAUGUAAUCAAAUAAUGGUGAAUACUUUUCAGUUGUGUGGAUUU
Long non-coding RNA from Motacilla alba alba, 1805 nucleotides. RefSeq lists it as uncharacterized. NCBI's taxonomy places the organism in Eukaryota, Metazoa, Chordata, Aves, Passeriformes, Motacillidae. The transcript has 5 exons. The record is from RefSeq and is a predicted model, not a curated record.